Molecule: ribosomal RNA, 207 nt
Filed under: uncultured bacterium
Lineage: Bacteria
Description: partial 16S ribosomal RNA
Rfam family: Bacterial small subunit ribosomal RNA
Source: RNAcentral
CGCGUAGGUGGUUUGUUAAGUUGGAUGUGAAAUCCCCGGGCUCAACCUGGGAACUGCAUUCAAAACUGACUGACUAGAGUAUGGUAGAGGGUGGUGGAAUUUCCUGUGUAGCGGUGAAAUGCGUAGAUAUAGGAAGGAACACCAGUGGCGAAGGCGACCACCUGGACUAAUACUGACACUGAGGUGCGAAAGCGUGGGGAGCAAACA